CUCUCCGUCUGAUUGCGAGGCUCCUGGCUCCUUUGUCCAGGAAGGGGCAGCUCCCCAACGGGCUGGCCAACGGUGAGCCGAGGCAGGGGCAGAACAAACCGAUCCCUCCAGGCCCAGCUGGGGGAUCACCCCCUAGCACCCCGGGAGAUGUCUGUCUGUCGCACGCCGGUAUGAGCCAACUUGCGUCUUGCAAUCUUAUUGUCGUUUCUCGGCAGGCUGUAGUCGGUCCCCGAGCCUGCGGAUCUGUCAGUCUGUGGGUUCCCCCAGCUAUCUCAGACACCUCUCAGCUGCACAUUAUGCAGGCCGGAAAACAUAAGCACAAAUAGCGGGCCUGGUUUUUCGUGAACAAUAAAGCAAGAUGUCUGACC
Long non-coding RNA from Ornithorhynchus anatinus (platypus), 368 nucleotides. RefSeq lists it as uncharacterized. The transcript is spliced from 2 exons. The record is from RefSeq and is a predicted model, not a curated record. Lineage: Eukaryota; Metazoa; Chordata; Mammalia; Monotremata; Ornithorhynchidae.